RNAcentral lists this ribosomal RNA (598 nucleotides) under uncultured bacterium. RNAcentral's name for it is "bacterial SSU rRNA". It matches the Rfam family "Bacterial small subunit ribosomal RNA", at positions 36 to 666 of the family's 1533-position model. The record is from RNAcentral.
CUGGCGGCGCGCCUAACACAUGCAAGUCGCACGAGAAAGUGGAGCAAUCCAUGAGUAAAGUGGCGUACGGGUGAGUAACACGUGGAUUAUCUACCUCCUAGUGGGGAAUAACCCUGGGAAACCGGGGCUAAUACCGCAUAAGCUCGAGAGAGGAAAGCAGCAAUGCGCUGGGAGAGGAGUCCGCGGCCGAUUAGCUAGUUGGUAGGGUAAAAGCCUACCAAGGCAAAGAUCGGUAGCCGGCCUGAGAGGGCACACGGCCACACUGGCACUGAAACACGGGCCAGACUCCUACGGGAGGCAGCAGUGGGGAAUCUUGCACAAUGGGGGAAACCCUGAUGCAGCGACGCCGCGUGAGCGAUGAAGCCCUUCGGGGUGUAAAGCUCUUUCGGCAGGGAAGAUUAUGACGGUACCUGCAGAAGCAGCUGCGGCUAACUACGUGCCAGCAGCCGCGGUAAUACGUAGGCAGCAAGCGUUGUUCGGAGUUACUGGGCGUAAAGGGUGUGUAGGCGGUUGUUUAAGUUUGGUGUGAAAUCUCCCGGCUCAACUGGGAGGGUGCGCCGAAUACUGAAUGACUANAGUGCGGGAGAGGAAAGUGGAA